UCGGUAAAAUGGCUGAGAAUAGGCGUUAAAUUGUAAAUUUAAUUACGAAUAAAAAUUCUUUUACC
This 65-nucleotide transfer RNA is filed under the name Limnichidae sp. MJTNT-2012. RNAcentral's name for it is "tRNA-Tyr". Lineage: Eukaryota; Metazoa; Arthropoda; Insecta; Coleoptera; Limnichidae. The record is from RNAcentral.